RNAcentral lists this ribosomal RNA (497 nucleotides) under uncultured bacterium. Its description in RNAcentral is "partial 16S ribosomal RNA". It matches the Rfam family "Bacterial small subunit ribosomal RNA", at positions 28 to 507 of the family's 1533-position model. The record is from RNAcentral.
GAUGAACGCUGGCGGCGUGCCUAAUACAUGCAAGUCGAGCGAACGGACGAGAAGCUUGCUUCUCUGAUGUUAGCGGCGGACGGGUGAGUAACACGUGGAUAACCUACCUAUAAGACUGGGAUAACUUCGGGAAACCGGAGCUAAUACCGGAUAAAAUUUUGAACCGCAUGGUUCAAAAGUGAAAGACGGUCUUGCUGUCACUUAUAGAUGGAUCCGCGCUGCAUUAGCUAGUUGGUAAGGUAACGGCUUACCAAGGCAACGAUGCAUAGCCGACCUGAGAGGGUGAUCGGCCACACUGGAACUGAGACACGGUCCAGACUCCUACGGGAGGCAGCAGUAGAGAAUCUUCCGCAAUGGGCGAAAGCCUGACGGAGCAACGCCGCGUGAGUGAUGAAGGUCUUCGGAUCGUAAAACUCUGUUAUUAGGGAAGAACAUAUGUGUAAGUAACUGUGCACAUCUUGACGGUACCUAAUCAGAAAGCCACGGCUAACUACGUG